UACGUAGGGUGCAAGCGUCGUCCGGAAUUAUUGGGCGUAAAGAGCUCGUAGGUGGUUUGUCGCGUUGUUCGUGAAAACUCACAACUCAAUUGUGGGCGUGCGGGCGAUACGGGCAGACUGGAGUACUGCAGGGGAGACUGGAAUUCCUGGUGUAGCGGUGGAAUGCGCAGAUAUCAGGAGGAACACCGGUGGCGAAGGCGGGUCUCUGGGCAGUAACUGACGCUGAGGAGCGAAAGCGUGGGGAGCGAACAGG
RNAcentral lists this ribosomal RNA (253 nucleotides) under uncultured bacterium. RNAcentral's name for it is "partial 16S ribosomal RNA". It matches the Rfam family "Bacterial small subunit ribosomal RNA", at positions 524 to 776 of the family's 1533-position model. The record is from RNAcentral.